This 1082-nucleotide long non-coding RNA is filed under the name Cricetulus griseus (Chinese hamster). RNAcentral describes it as "lncRNA (ENSCGRG00015036333.1)". Lineage: Eukaryota; Metazoa; Chordata; Mammalia; Rodentia; Cricetidae. The record is from RNAcentral.
CCGGGACGCACAGCACAGCCUGACCCCCACCGGGACGCGCAGCACAGCCUGACCCCCACCGGGACGCACAGCACAGCCUGACCCCCACCGGGACGCGCAGCACAGCCUGACCCCCACCGGGACGCGCAGCACAGCCUGACCCCCACCGGGACGCGCAGCACAGCCUGACCCCCACCGGGACGCGCAGCACAGCCUGACCCCCACCGGACGUGCAGAGCUCCGCAGCGGCGUCUUCCCCGGGCGGGAAUCCCCAACUGCAGGGCUCGAAGCUUUGCUUUUUACAAAUGCUGGCCAAAGCCCGGAGAAUGUGGGAAUGGAGCCAUCUGGUGGACAAAGGAGGGAACUUUGGGAACCCAGCUAAGAAUGCUUCCCCUGGAGGCCGGAAACUUCCUGGCAACCAGAGUAAUUAUGUGAAAUGUAUGUCUUUUUAAAAUAGUUGCGCUGGUGGCGGAGUGGGGGAGCUGGAGAAAUAGCUUAGUGGUUAAGAACAAUAGCUGAUCUUCCGGAAGUCCUGAGUUCAAAUCCCAGCAACGACAUGAUUGCUUUAAAGCGAUCUAGUGCCCUCUUCCCGCCUGCAGGGACACAGGCCGACAAAACCCUGCAUGCAUAAUAAAUUUAAAAACUAAAAUGGUUGGGCUGGCGAGUUGGCUCAGUAGUUAAAAGCACUGGCUGCUCUUCCAAAGUACCGGCGUUCAAUUCCCAGCACCCACAUGGCAGCUCAGGAAGUUCCAAGGGAUCUGGCACCCUCACACAGACAUGCAUACAGGCAAAAACACCAGUGCACACAAAAUUUAAAUAAAUAAAUAAAUAAAUAAAUACUUGCUGUGGUUUUUACUUCUUGUCUUACCCACUAGGAUCUGUGAAGACAGAAACCUCUCUUGUUCAGAGCAGGAGGGUGGAACACAUGGUAGAUGCUGGGUAAAUAAUACCGGCUGUUAUUAACAUCAACACUGUCUUUAGCUCAAACCUGAGUCUCCCCCACAAAGUAAGGAUUCUCUUAGGAGCCAGAAAAUAUGUCUGCCCCAACUUCUGGAUCAGACCCAGGACGCUAAGACCCAAAGUGAAGAAGUUCAGGCAGCAGC